Molecule: long non-coding RNA, 473 nt
Filed under: Mus spicilegus (steppe mouse)
Lineage: Eukaryota; Metazoa; Chordata; Mammalia; Rodentia; Muridae
Description: lncRNA (ENSMSIG00000029298.1)
Source: RNAcentral
CCUCGAGCCAUGCUGCAAACAUACACUCGGCUGCUAGCAGGAGAUUUCCGGAGCUGCGCAAUGCACCCACACGUUUCUUCAAGUUCUGCUGCUUCUGGAGAUGGCCUCCAAGACAGAAAUAGUUGCACCAGUGAUUUCCAGCAAAGGCAAAGUCUGAACUAUUCCGGUUGACUUGAUGACCUACAGCUGAGAGCUGGUUUAUGAUGGAGAAGGAUACUGAGACGUCUAGAGGUGGAGAGAGUGACUGCCCCUGAGGAAAUGCCUAACCAACUGCACUAGAGGCAACCAGACCAGAGGGACAAAGAAUGUGAGCUCAGAUUUCCUAUGGGUUUUCUGUAAAACUUUGAGCAUCUAUAAAUGAAGAUAAUGAUGGUGAUUUCUUCAAAGAACUACUCUGAGGAUUCAACAAGGUCACAUUUGUAAGUCUUUUCUAUGACUGAUGAGCAAGGAGGAAGGCUGGGUUGACAAUGGAG